GGUCGAUCAGCGGCUCAGAUUGAACGCUGGCGAUGUUUACACAUGCAAGUCGAACGGCACGGACUUCGGUCUGGUGGCGAGUGGCGAACGGGUGAGAAGGUAUCGAACGUGCCUAGUAGCGGGGGAUAACUACGCCAAAGGUAGCUAAUACCGCAUACGUUCUUCGGGGGAAAGUGGGGGACCUUCGGGCCUCGCACUAUUAGAGCGCCGAUAUCGGAUUAGCUAGUUGGUGGGGUAACGGCUCACCAGUGCGACGAUCCGUAGCUGGUUUGAGAGGACGACUGGCCACACUGGGAUCGAGACACGGCCCAGACUCGGCAUGGAGUGGGAGAGCAGUGGGGAAUUUUGGAUACGUCGGGGAAACCCUGAUCCAGCCAUCCCGCGUAAAGGAGAAGGCUGGGUUGUAAAGCACUUUUGGCAGGAAAGAAACGGCACGGGAUAAUACUCCCGUGCAACUGACGGUAGGCACCGCAGGGUGAAUAAGACCGUGGCUAACUACGUGCCAGCAGCCGCGGUAAUACGUAGUAAGCGUUAAUCGGAAUUACCGGGGCGUAAAGCGUGGCGCAGGCGGGUUCGGAAAGAAAGAUGUGAAAUCCCAGGGCUUAACUUUGGAACUGUAUUUUUAACUACCGAGCUAGAGUGUCAGGAGGGAGGUGGAAUUCCGCGUGUAAAGCAGUGAAAUGCGUAGAUAUGCGAGGAACACCGAUGGCGAAGGCAGCCUGGGAUAACACCGACGCUCAUGCACGAAAGCGUGGGGAGAGCAAACAGGAUUAGAUACCCCGGUAGUCCACGCCCUGGUAAACGAUCACCAGCUGCUGGGGCCUCGCCUUGGUAGCGCAGCUAACGCAGGAAGUUGACCGCCUGGGGAGUACGCCGGUCAAAAGAUUUAAAACUCAGCGAAUGAUGUGACCCGCACGCUGGGUGGAUGAUGCGGAUUAAUUCGAUGCAACGCGAAACCUUACCUACCCUUGACAUGUCUGGAAUCCCGAAGAGAUUUGGGAGUGCUCGCAAGAGAACCGAACACAGGUGCUGCAUGGCUGUCGUCAGCUCAAAAGUCGUGAGAUGUUGGGUUAAGUCCGCAACGAGCGCAACCUCUUUGUCAUUAAGCAGCAUGAAAGGGCACUCUAAUGAGACCGUUGCGACAAACCGGAGGAAGGUGGGGAUGACGUCAAGUCCUCAUGGCCCUGAUGUAGGGCUUCACACGUCAGUACAAUGGUCGGGACAGAGGGUCGCCAACCUGCGAGGGGGAGCCAAUCCCAGAAACCCGAUCGUAGUCCGGAUCGCAGUCUUGCAACUCGGCUGCGGAAGUCAGAACGCUAGUAAUCUGCGAUCAGCAUGUCGCGGAAUAUGCCCUGGGGUCUUGUACACAAUGCGCUCCGCUCCGCUGGCCUCAUGGGAGGUUUUACCAGAAGUAGUUAGCCUUAACCGUGAGGGCGAUUACCACGGUAGGAUAUGACUGGGGUGAAGUCGUAACAAGGUAA
This 1481-nucleotide ribosomal RNA is filed under the name uncultured Bordetella sp. Its description in RNAcentral is "partial 16S-23S ribosomal RNA intergenic spacer". It matches the Rfam family "Bacterial small subunit ribosomal RNA". The record is from RNAcentral. Lineage: Bacteria; Pseudomonadati; Pseudomonadota; Betaproteobacteria; Burkholderiales; Alcaligenaceae.